AGUGAACGCUGGCGGUAGGCCUAACACGUGCAAGUCGAACGGCAGCACAGUAAGAGCUUGCUCUUACGGGUGGCGAGUGGCGGACGGGUGAGGAAUACAUCGGAAUCUACUUUUUCGUGGGGGAUAACGUAGGGAAACUUACGCUAAUACCGCAUACGACCUACGGGUGAAAGCAGGGGAUCUUCGGACCUUGCGCGAUUGAAUGAGCCGAUGUCGGAUUAGCUAGUUGGCGGGGUAAAGGCCCACCAAGGCGACGAUCCGUAGCUGGUCUGAGAGGAUGAUCAGCUACACUGGAACUGAGACACGGUCCAGACUCCUACGGGAGGCAGCAGUGGGGAAUAUUGGACAAUGGGCGCAAGCCUGAUCCAGCCAUACCGCGUGGGUGAAGAAGGCCUUCGGGUUGUAAAGCCCUUUUGUUGGGAAAGAAAAGCAGCAGGUUAAUACCCCGCUGUUCUGACGGUACCCAAAGAAUAAGCACCGGCUAACUUCGUG
Molecule: ribosomal RNA, 492 nt
Filed under: uncultured bacterium
Lineage: Bacteria
Description: partial 16S ribosomal RNA
Rfam family: Bacterial small subunit ribosomal RNA
Source: RNAcentral